RNAcentral lists this ribosomal RNA (464 nucleotides) under uncultured bacterium. RNAcentral's name for it is "bacterial SSU rRNA". It matches the Rfam family "Bacterial small subunit ribosomal RNA", at positions 338 to 795 of the family's 1533-position model. The record is from RNAcentral.
CCUACGGGGUGCACCAGUGGGGAAUAUUGCACAAUGGCGCAAGCCUGAUGCAGCCAUGCCGCGUGUAUGAAGAAGGCCUUCGGGUUGUAAAGUACUUUCAGUCGGGAGGAAGGUGGUGAGCUUAAUACGCUCAUCAAUCGACGUUACCGACAGAAGAAGCACCGGCUGACUCCGUGCCAGCAGCCGCGGUAAUACGGAGGGUGCAAGCGUUAAUCGGAAUUACUGGGCGUAAAGCGCACGCAGGCGGUUGAUUGAGUCAGAUGUGAAAUCCCCGGGCUUAACCCGGGAAUUGCCUCUGAUACUGGUCAGCUAGAGUCUUGUAGAGGGGGGUAGAAUUCCAUGUGUAGCGGUGAAAUGCGUAGAGAUGUGGAGGAAUACCGGUGGCGAAGGCGGCCCCCUGGACAAAGACUGACGCUCAGGUGCGAAAGCGUGGGGAGCAAACAGGAUUAGAUACCCCCGUAGUC